This 240-nucleotide unclassified non-coding RNA is filed under the name soil metagenome. RNAcentral's name for it is "partial contains 5.8S ribosomal RNA, internal transcribed spacer 2, and large subunit ribosomal RNA". The record is from RNAcentral.
AACAUCGCGCACCUGCGGGAACCUGCGGAGGGAUCAUUAAUGAUUGGUGGCUGUUGCUGACUAGUGUUUCUAGUAUGUGCACGCCACACCUUCAAUCCCACUUACACCUGUGCACCUUCUGUAAUAGAUCUAUGUGAUACGGAGAUAUGAAAGUUUGCGCUCUCGUACUCUGUUGAAGCAGUCUACUACGUUUUUUUACACACACACAAUAGUCAUUGAAUGUAUUUUUUAUUCUUAUGA